AAAUAUCUCUCAAAGAGUGCAACUUUUAUUUAAAGAGUGUAAUUUUCAUCUUAAAGGGUGUAGUUUAUAUUUUAAAGAGUGCAACUUACAUCCAUAAUAGUGCAACAUUCUUUUAAAACAAUAAAAUUUUAUUUUAACAGUGCAACUUCAUCCUUUUCUUCAUUUUUCUCUGAUUUUCUUCAUUAUUCUCUAAUUUCUGAUCU
RNAcentral lists this long non-coding RNA (203 nucleotides) under Ananas comosus (pineapple). RNAcentral's name for it is "long non-coding RNA (ACOM_LNC031384)". The record is from RNAcentral. Lineage: Eukaryota; Viridiplantae; Streptophyta; Magnoliopsida; Poales; Bromeliaceae.